AGAGGGAAGCAAAGCCCCUCAGCUAAUCUGAAGAUCAGAAGCAUGAAAAAAAUAGCAAAACUUGCAGUGGCAAGAACAAAUCAAGCAUUUCCUCAGUUCAGGUCUCCAAAUUGCUUCCGCACAGCGCCAUGAGAUGGCACAUCAGAAGAACGAAAGUAUUUAGUUUGAUCAUCAUUGGACAGCUUUAAGCAUUAAAUCAAAAUCUCAAAAGGAAAUUGUCCCUCAGAACAUUUGCACGGAUGCAUCAACAGAUUGGUAUUUUUUUCAGAAAAGGUCGACAUUUAAAAUUCAAGUUUUGCUAAGCUUUCAAAUGACGUAAACAGAUUUCGUCUUUGGAUCAAUCUUGCUGUAUGCUUAAUGUUGAAGCUGAUUUGCUUCGCAUAUUGAUCUGACCAAACAAUGAGCAACCAAAAGAUCAUCAAAUUAAGCAACACAACACCUCCAUUGCCAAUGUAAUCAGACAAAGAGGCUGCCUGCAUCAUUGCUCAUUCAGUUAUUACAACGGAGGAUGUUAGAAAAGGGAGACAAGGAUUAUAUCAUCACUGCAGCAGUUACAGUCUAGCUGUGUCUAUUUUCCCAAAAACUAGAAGAGCCUUCAUUGGCUGUACCAAAUUAUAAUGAAGAAAUCAUAAGAAAAAUGUGAGUGGGCUCAGAUACAAAAGAGAUGUUCAUAUCACGACUGCCCACAAAGGGAAGUCUCAUAAUGAGCUGGGUAAUAGUAUCAUCAUUGCAAAAAUAAUCAAGGCCCCAGCCCACAACGACUACAGAAACAAAUUCAGUGGUUUCUCAAGAUAAGGGUUUUCUCAACAAAGAUUUGUCAGUUGUUUGGUCACUCAAAGAUCAAGUACAGUGGACUCUGCUAAAAUCAUGUAAAUUGCUUUGUCAAUCAGAAUGCAUAAUAUGUUCAUCCGUUUGUUUUGGCAAUGAUGCUCUGUGGUAGGCAUAAUGCGGUUGAUAAACAAAGGUGUUCUUCCACACCGAGCUAUGAGAUAGCGCAUUAGAACUUCAGAAGAACAAAAGUAUUUAGUUUGAUCAUCACCGAACAAAACUGACUGAGCUUUCUGCAAGUUUAAUCCUCCAAAGCACGUGCAAUGCUGGCUUUCUUCCGCCAAAUUAACGAGCUACAGACUCAGGAACUAAAAUCUCUGAGAAAUAAAAAUAUGUACUAUGUUAGAAAUGUGCCAGAAGACAGGUAACAUGACACGGUUUGACAGAGCGUCAUGCUGUUUAAUACUGGCCGGUGUUUCCAUUCAUCUAUGCUUCCCUCUACGGGAUGACCAAACUGUUAUCAACAGGCCAUCCUUCCAGUUGUGAAGCAACAAACACAAAAACAAUUUUCCAUCACAAACUACAAGCAGAAAAAACAUGAAAAAAAUAGCAAAACUUGCAGUGGCAAGAACAAAUCAAGCAUUUCCUCAGUUCAGGUCUCCAAAUUGCUUCCGCACAGCGCCAUGAGAUAGCACAUCAGAAGAACGAAAGUCUUUAGUUUGAUCAUCAUCGGACAGCUUUAAGCAUUAAAUCAAAAUCUCAAAAGGAAAUUGUCCCUCGGAACAUUUGCACGGAUGCAUCAACAGAUUGGU
Molecule: long non-coding RNA, 1580 nt
Filed under: Triticum aestivum (bread wheat)
Lineage: Eukaryota; Viridiplantae; Streptophyta; Magnoliopsida; Poales; Poaceae
Description: long non-coding RNA (TAES_LNC010922)
Source: RNAcentral